UAUCGCUUUAGCAGAAAAGGUUCAGAAUAUGUACGGCGACAUUGGUGGCAAUCUGGAAGAGUGAGUCUGAAAUUAGAGGUGAAAGUAUUAAAAUAUUGAUAGCACCUCUCUGUGUCCAUUGCUGGCCCAUUUAUUAUUCAUUCUACCUUGAAGGUAGCAUGCAAGAUGACCCUCUUUCAUUCAGGCCUGCCUGCUAACUCCUGCCUGCCUUCGUUGUGAUUCCAUGUAGCUUUACUGACAUUUUUCCCCAGCUCAGCUGAUGUGGAGAUGAGAUUCAAGUGUGUUAUUCAUUUCCUCGUGUUUAUGUCCGGCUUUGAAUCAUCUGUCUGUGGCUGUGCCGUUUGCUUUCCUACUUUCAAAUAACAAAAGGCCCACUCCCCAUUUUGCUAAAUCUUAUUCUAUGCAUGAGCACAAAUUAAAGAAAAAAAAGGCAAUUAAAUAAAUUUGACUGUAUUGAAGCAUUUAAUGGUAUUCCAGCCCCGGUUAAUGCUCCUCCUAAAGCAGGUAUUCUGAAUUUGUUGUCUAGCUUUUAAUGACCUUGAUGUUCAUCUAAAUUUAAUAACUACAUGAAAAUUUUAUUAAUUAAUAAAAAGAAUGUUUGGUUUGUGUUUGCAAAGAUUGAAUUAAAUUGAAUAUAUUAAAAAAGCUUGGUGUAGCUAUGUUUUUUUAUCUGGCUGUAAUUUGAAGCGGCUAAACCGGGCCUCUUUUGAAAUUUUAAUCCAUAGAGGUAGAUCAAGGAUACAUGUUGACUUAUCUAUACUCAUAGAAUUAUUUUAGAUUUCGAGCAACCCUCUCAAAUGAUUCAUAUUUCAUGGGGGGUGGGUUAGGGGGGGCAUAUUUACCCGGGCUCCUUUGAAGAUCUGCGAGGAGCUUCGGCUCUGACUUUGGUCAGUCAUAAAUAGGAAUCCCCCUGAGGGCCAGGCUCAUAGGUGCUGUUUAUGUUGACCAAUGGUACCGCAGCCUGAAAACCGGAGGAGCGCUGUCGGGAUUGGAGCAGGUGGGUUCUGGGCUUCAAAGACGAAAAGAUAAUCUGCCGAAAAAAUCUAAAGCCAGGCUCUGAGAUGUGCUGAACAUCUCGGAGCUUCUGCUCGCAAAGACACGCAGCUCAUCAUGUGGUUUGAGCCAGCCCAGGAAUGCUUUGAUGCUUCUGAUCCCCCAACUUUUGUUAGUUUAUUUGACUGAGUUUUUAUGUAUAAUAUGUAUUCCAAAUGCCAGCUCUUCUUUAAAGAACUUAAAGGAAAUCCCAAAGAAAUAACUUUGGAGUUGGAGGCUUGUGCUUAAGCAUCAGUUGAUUCAAAGGCUCAGUGGCAAAGUCUGCCAUAACACAGAGAGAGGAGCGCAUGGUCAAUCGCUGGAUGAACGGUGGAAAAAAGUAGUUCCUCAUAAGCACAGGAGAUAGUUUUUUUUCAUAUAAGGCUGAUAUCUUUUUAAUUUUCUGAGCAGAAUGAUAAUGGAGAAAUAUUGAUCGGCUUUUAGUGCUGGCCUUUAAAAUCAUAAUUCCAUGCAGGGAUAAAAUUUCAACUUUUCCCAAGUUUUACUGUCAAACAACUUCAGGUACUGGAUGACUUGAAGCAUAUUUACCUGGAAGUUUGUUAAAAUGUCCAAUAAAAUGUAAAAUUUAGAUGUGAUAAGAAGUUAUUUUUUGGUCAUAUACAGGGCCUGGAUCAUUUGUUGUUAUGAAUUCUGCUUUCUGUAUUUUUUACUAUUAAAAAACAUGUUUUUGCCAUUAUUUAUGGGACAGAGAAAAGAAUUCUGGGGAAUAGAAAGUGAGGUAAGAUGUAAAUCAGUCAGGAGUUGAACCAGCAACCACUGCAGUAAGGAACAUAGCCUCUGUAUAUUGGGGUCACUUAAACUGGGAGGCCUCUGCUUGCUGUUUUAGAGCAAUCUCAUUUUUAUCCAAGAGUUAAACUUCACAAAUGUGUAAAUGUGUCCUAGGAAAAGGACUAUUUCAUCAGCUGUAACAACUCAAAUUAUUUGGGAUUUAAACUGGAAAGUCGGGUACCUAAACCCACACAAAACUGCUUCAGUGAAGGAUGGAAGCAACAGAGGAUUUCCUGAUAGGAGGCUGAGGAUUGAGAGGUUAUGCUUCUGUCUGUCCCUGCUCCUCCUAUUUCAAAAUAAAAAUGAAUAUAUGCUGCAGUUUUCUCCAUCCAGUUUUUACUUGUAUGUAAACAAGGUAAAUAUUAAGAGCAAGCCCCAAAAUAUCGAUUAGCACUCACAUCUUUUUUUAGUGUUUUCCAACUACUUGCAUUUGAUGUUGACCUGUUAUUGACCUGUUGCAUUAGGUAAAAUUCUGUGUGUUUAAAAUGCAUGAUGGGCUUAAAACUCAACUCCCAAAACAGAAGAAAAAAUGGUGAAGGUGUAGUUUAUGUCAAGAUAAAUUCAACUCUGCUAGCUUGAUCAUCAGAGAAAAUGAAGGUGGAUCAGGAAACAGGAAAUCAUUUUUUUUUUACUUCUUAUAAAACCACCAAGGGCUGAAGUUUGCUGCUUCUUGUCCCGUUCAGUCAUCACCGCUUGACAAUGGGAGUUAUUUGUUUUCUUUUUUUUGGUACAAACAACAUCUUAUUUUUUUAUUUGGACUUGGUCUUGAAUGGUCCUCGGAUGGAAACAAAAUAAUGAGAAAGAGAUGAAAAGUAAUGAAGGAAAUGGCCUCCAAGGCUCCAUCUUAGUUUAUAAAAGAGGAUUUUGUGUCGGGUGAUUGUGUUCUCUUUGCCUGCAGAGGGGGAUGUUGCCCUGGACAUGGGCCCAUGUCCUGUGUUACAAGCGGCAGUACUAUGCACAAUACCUGCUCUGACUUUUCCUCCUUUCAUAUGCUUAAUAUUUGUGUAUGAAGAAGAACUAAAGCGCUUAAUAACAUCAUGGAAACCUCGCUGUUUUGAUCCCAGUUAGUUUUUGGAGUGCUUUUUCUCUGACGCUCCACACUCAGCAGCAGAAAACAUGCUUUGGAUCUCUUGGUUCUCUGUCUUUGUUCACUUAACUCUAUUGUUCCUCUGCAUAAGACCCACACAUGGACAUUUUUCCUUUUUUUUUGCAGUCACAUGGACAAAGUUGAACGUAAAAAUUCAAAUGUAAAUGAAUCUCCAGAUUUCAUUGUGGUGCAGGAACUCUGCCGCCCUUCGCCGUGUUUUUUGAGUGAAACCAAAACCAUAAAUCUGAGAAACAGUUGAGGUUGAAGAAUCAGCGACGGAGGUGGGAGAUGAGAUAGCGGUGGUUCAGAUGGCCCCCCUCCUGGUCGCCGGCCGUCAGAAGGAACGAAGUAGCCAUUUUGUGGCGAGUGCGGUGGUGCGGUAGAGAUGAGAUGGUUAACACCCUCCUGCAGUAUAGCCACCCUUCUCUCUCCCUCUCUCCCUCGCUCUAAUUUUCUCUCCCCCCUUCUUUCCCUUGCUCGUCCGCUCAGUCGACUAUGAAGACACUUCAUCUUCCCUGACAGUAUGACCACUACUGCAUGUUCUGAUGCGUUCAGCAUACCUUCAUUGCAUCAUAAAUAAAUCAGAGAAAUGACUUUUUCUUUCUCUUUCUCUCACAUGUUCUUUUAUCUCCCGCUCUCCUGUCUCUGUUAUCUCUUGGAGUCUGAAAACGGGAAAUGGUGUGCCUGUGGAUUUCCUGUGUGCUCCCCCCUUCUUCCACUCUUCUUACUGCAUGUGCAUGAUCAUCACCCUCCAAUCCCCCUUUUACAUUAUCUCAAAGAGGAGAAAUUAUUUUUCUCCGUAAUGAUAUUCAUUCUAUGUUAUGACAUUAUCUGCUUAAAUUUUAAUUUAAAUGUCAUGGAUGUGAGGGAUUUUCUUAAUUAAUGUGCGCAGGGGAUGCAAAAUACAAUCCCGUAUAAUAGAAACAAACUAUUGUCAUUUUUCUGAGGGGGGGAUUUUUUGGGGCCAGCAUUUUGGCGUUGGGAGGGACUACACAAACAGACUUGACAUGCUUUGUUAGUUGUUCUGGAACAAAAAAACACACACCAACACAUGAGCACACACAUGCAUUUGUGGGGCUGUAGAUUACAUGAGCAGGCGGGGUAGGGAUGGGUGGAUGAAGGAGAACGGGGGAUGUGGAGAAAGAUUGUCAAGAACCACUACCCCUCCUCUCCUCCACCUCCACCCCCAUACUGACUCCCUAUACCCAGUCCCUCCACCCCUUCCUGUAAUCUCCACUCCUCCACGGGUAGUCUCAAACCUUGUGUUCGUCCACCACCAACCAAUUACCUGGCAACCCUGCCCUUAUCCCCAGCACAGGCGUGAUGCUGCUGCAUGAUGGGGUUUUUGUAUAUUGAAUUCCAUCUCCUGGUGAGAUAAAGGGUGUAGGAACAGGGCUCUGCCGCUGUGCUAGAUAAGUGUUUCUCACAAACCGUUCCUCGCCGCUUCUUCUGACACUGAUUGUGGAAAAAAGAGACAUUGGGGAUGGUGCUGAUGUUGUGUGUGUGGGGCGGGGGGUAGUAGUGAGAUGGGACCCAAUUUCAAUAUGAUUUUCCUCUUGUUUUUAAUUUGUUACGAAGCGGCUCCCUGAGAGGAGUCGGAUCCUGCGCCUAAAUACCUUCCUGUUUCAUGUUAGGAAAGUCUAGGCUUCACCGCUGAGAUCAAUAUUCAAAUAGCGUGAGAAUAUUUUUCUCUGGCGUCUCUCCUUCUCAUUGCAGAGUUACCAAACACAAGAUAUUACUCUGUGGAUCGAUAGUUUAUCUUCAUUUAGGAAGGCUGUUCAAUCUGCAGAGGUGACAGUUAUGGGUUGAGCAGCUCUGUGGAGUAUCAGCUUUUGUUCGGCUUCAUCCCUUCCCUCUCAGUCCUAUUUGUAAGCUGUCCUGAGAAGUGUCCCCUGGUACAUAUGGCCUGAGCCAGGGCCCGGCUAUCUGUCUUUGUCUGGCCCACUGCAGGGAACCACACACUCAUUGGUUGUCCUGGGGAACAAUGUAAGUGAUGGACCACCGUUCAUACAUCAAACCUGCAAGGCGUUUGACACUGCGGGACAGAAACAUUGAAAAUAAUGACCACAGCAAUAUGUAUCAGAGGUUAAAAAUAGAGUACUGCGGAGAGGUGCUGGCUGAGAGUCGAGUCUGAGAGCUCUUCUCUGCAGCCCUCCCACUGUUUUAGAGGUUAAUGGAAGCUGCCUUGAGCGCAGAAGAAAAGAUGUUUCCAGUUAACCAGAAUGAGUGAUAUUCAACUACUUGGACACUAAUAUGCUCCAAUUGAAUUUCUCCCUUUGUCAGUGGGGAGUCUGUCCUGCUGCGGACCCUCCCUCACAGCUGUGCCCUUGUCUCCCUCUGCUCCACCAGCGCUGAGCCCAGCCCCAAAAGGUCAAGUGUGAGGGGUCAAGUUUAACCUGAAACCAGACAGAGCGAGAUGGACAGGGGGGAGGGGAGAGGGCCGGGGUCACUUGUGUGUGGUGUACCGCUGACUAUCAGUGUGGAUGUUAGCAUUUAUCUGUGUGCAGUUGUGUAGGCUUUGUGGUUGUAGUCCAAUAAAGUUUGGACGUGUGGGGAUCUGAAAGAGAUGGUCAGAAAUGUGCACAAGAAGAGAUUUACAAAGUACAAUGUGUUUUCAGUAGGGGUGUCUCGAUACAACUUUUUGACUUUCGAUAUGAUACUGAUAUUGUAGCCUUCAAUAUUGACCAAUACCAAUAUUGAUCUCAAUGUCUUUUAUGGAUUUGAACAAAAAAUGCUACAACACAGCCGACAUCACUCUUACUCCUUGGUACUUUGUUAGUAUCUUAGUACACACUGUUGUUGUGAUUUUGUGGGCUCUACAUGCUGCAAGAUAGAGGUGCUGGAGCGGAGUCUGGAAUGGACUGCUUGUAUUGGAGUGCUGAUAUCAGAGAUUUUAGAUUUAGGUCGAUAUGAUCCGAUAUAUAUAUAUAUAUAUUUUGCUGAUAUUGGACCGAUACCCUAUAUCAAUAUCGUAUCGGGACACCCCUAGUUUUCAGCAGUGUUCUAAUGCACUACAAAUUUGCAGUUGUUAUAUCAUGAUCAAUUGACACGAUUAUUCAUUGAUUCCAAAACUUGGGUAUUAAUUGAACCACCAAAACUUAACUUUCAAUAUAACUUAAAAAAAAACAGCUAGAAAUAAAUCGACAAUAAAAAAAAAUAGUUAAUUGAAACAAUGAUGGCUGAUACCGGAGAUCUUAGAUUUAGGCCGAUAUAAUGCGAUCAGAGCCUCAAUGGGGCCCUAAGCAAAAUUUGAUUUUGGGGCCCUCUAUUUCUGCCAAUAAAAUUAAUUGUUGAUCAUUCACACAGCCACUACAGUCAAAAUUUAAUGCACCUGACAUGUCUUUACACAUUUAAGGUGGUCGCCUAGGUAGUAAUAUGAAUAAUACCAAUGCAACCAUACAAAUAAUAACAAAAUAAUCUCAAAAUGUUUACACAGUCAGGAUGCUCAGUGCACAUUUCACAGCAGGAGGCACAUAACGGAAGCGGAGCUUUGACAUAUCGGCAGUAAGAAUCAUAGGCCUACAUCAGCAGCACUAAAAUGUUAAAUACUUUAUUUUAUUUUACAAUAACCUAUAUGUGAUCAUACAGAAAGCAUCACUCAUACAUGCAGAAAAUAAAAAACAUUUUAAUUUUUUUUGUUGUUGUUUGAUUGCACUUGGGGGCCCCCUACUGGCCGCGGGGCUCUAAGCAGGCACUUAGUUCGCUUAUGCCUUGGGCCGGCUCUGAAUGCAAUAUUUUUGCUAAAAUUGGCCCUAUAUCCAUUAUCAGUGUCGUAUUGGGACACCCCUAGUUUUCAGCAGUGUUCUAGUACACUAUAAUUGUGCAAUUGUUCUACCUGUUGGACAAUAUCAAAAUUCUUAUUUUUAGGUGAUGAGCUAACUGUAGUUUUCUGUUUUUUCCCUGAAAGACAUACAGGAAAACAAUUUUUGAUCUAAAGUGGUUAACAGAAUGACCUAACUUGAAAACCACAAGUACUUUCAACUAAAUUUAGCCAACAUAGACAGUCUUAAGCUGGAUACCUGAUACAAGGCCUGAGGAGAGCCAUGUGAGCGCAGCUAUCUGAUGACUUUCACAGAGGAAUUUGAUGUACAGCAUGCUCGUAUUGUUUCAGUUUGCUAAAUCGCUCCGUGUACAUAAACAUCUGUGUCCCUCUCACUCACUCACUCUCUCUCACACACAAACACACACACACUCGCAGCGUGAGUCAGCCCACACCUGGAACAGAUAAAGGCUCUUUCAUGUUUGCAGGGCUAUCCCGGGGUCAGUGAGUGCUGGUGUUGAGAGCUCGUUUUUACUAGGAGUGAGUGGAGCCGGAGAAGAAAUGAAAAGAAACCAUAUAUAUCCAGGUGUUGCAGAGUUAAGGAAGUUUUAUUAGCCAACAAUUCCUUCCUUGAUUCCUUCCUCCAAUACUAUAGAGAUACCCCCCCUCGGCAUUAAACUGUGUCCAUCUAUUGCACAGUUGUCUUGAGUAAGAAGAUGGAUAACAGUCUGCUGGGUGCCUUAUGAAUUAUCAACAGUACAGCACAUAAAUAAAAGUCUGCGUUUUUGUCAAGCUGCCAUUUUAAUCUUGUUUCAGGCGUUUAUAGAAGAAAACGUACUUUUUCGUCGAAACCUUUGCCGCAUAUUGACUUCCAUAUAUUAACCGCUAUCCUCAAGGCUUUGAGAAACUUUGAUUUGAUGCUGACCAUCGUAAAUAAUGUUUUUGAGCUAUGAACUCUCUUAUGCACAUCAGCAUAAAUGUAAAAAGAAGACA
RNAcentral lists this long non-coding RNA (7661 nucleotides) under Xyrichtys novacula (pearly razorfish). Lineage: Eukaryota; Metazoa; Chordata; Actinopteri; Labriformes; Labridae. The record is from RNAcentral.